GUGAGGUAAUAUAUAGGAGGGAUUCACAUUUGUUCCAGACCUUUUCAUACUCUACCAUUACCCCGAAACCCGUCUACGCGGAGAGAGUGAGAGAAAGCUUAUACGCAGAUCCAACUACUGAAAUGGCCAUCUGUUGCCGGAGAGGAGAUCGGCUCCUCUUUGUGAUUCGGUAAGCUCUCGAAGCUCUUAUGUCGUGGUUGGAGUUUCUCUGUGAAUCGUUUAAAGUCUCGAGUACCGAAGCGGCGAAAUCUAGAAAGUAAGGGCAAAUCGUUGACUUAUUAGUCGCCGGCCGCCGUCCUCCAGUGAGGUGGGUGGAGGAGGAGGAGGAGAGUCGGAGGUGUUAGGUUUGGAGGCAUGUGAGUUGCUGUUUGGAAUGUGAAUUUGGUGUGCAUUUGAGGUUGCAUGUGACCUCUGCCGCGUUCUCUGUGGAGCUGUGAUGAAUUAUAUUUCAUAGUAUGCACACAAUUACAAACAUCAUGUUAAUUGAAAAGGAAUGUUUCAGUCAUAGUGAAGAAAGUGGGAUUCCUUUUGAAUUGUGAAUGCAAUUGCAUUAGCAGCGGGGUGGAAGUUGAGAUGGUUCAAAGCUAUCAAAUAAAAUGAAAAAAGAGAAUGAUGGAAUCCACGUUCGGCAAUCGUCUCGAUGGACAUGGGCCCUUAACAUGCUUCCUUGGGCAAAUGGGCAGUCGUCUGUUCUAACCAGGAAACCUCGGUAAUUAAGAAAAUAGUAAAAUAGUAAUAAUUAAGUAUAGUAAAGCAGGGGGUGUUGCAUAAAGCAUAUGAUUUUUUUCCUAAUUUUGUCUUUAUUACUAAACUUUUGAGUUUACUCCAUUUUAUUUUAAAUUCCGUUGCAAUUUAAACUUACAAAUGGUCGUGUGAUGUGUUUUGAGGUACGAGGACUAUU
This is a non-coding RNA of Sesamum indicum (sesame), 901 nucleotides long. The record is from RefSeq and is a predicted model, not a curated record. Lineage: Eukaryota; Viridiplantae; Streptophyta; Magnoliopsida; Lamiales; Pedaliaceae.